UACUAACGUUAGGUCUGUCUGUUCUUCUCUCUCAAGCUGCUUUAGAUGUAAAGUUAGCUUGUUUAUUUGAGCUUUUUCUUGUUUCCUGAGUUGGGCUUGUAUUGCUAUAAACUUUCCUCUUAGAACAGCUUUUGCUGGAUCCCAUAGGUUUUGGAGUGUCAUAUCUUUGUUGUCAUUUGCUCCUAGGUAUUUUUAAAUUUCCUCUUUGAUUUCUUCAGUGAUCCAUUGGUUGCUAGUUGCAUGUUGUUUUGUCUCCACGUGUUUGUGUUUUUUUUUUUGCAGUGUUUUUCUUGUUGUUGAUUUCCAUUCGUAUACUGUUGUGGUCAGAAAAGAUGCUUGAUACGAUUUCAAUAUUCUUAAAGUUACUGAGGUUUGAUUUGUAGCCCAGGAUGUGAUGAAUCUUAGAGAAUGUUCCAUGUGCACUUGAGAAGAAUGUGUAUUCUGUUGCUUUUGGAUGGAAUGUUCUCUAAAUAUCUAUUAAGUCCAUCUGGUCUAAUGCUUCAUUCAGGGCCUGUGUUUCCUUAUUUAUUUUCUGUCUGGAUGAUCUGUCCAUUGCUGUAAGUGGGGUGUUAAAGUCCCCUGCUGUUAUUGUGUAAUUGUUAUUUUCUCCUUUUAAGGUCGUUAGCAGUUGCCUUAUAUAUUGAGGUGAUUCUAUGUUGGGUGCAUCUAUAUUUAUAAUUUUUAUAUCUUCUUCUUGGAUUGAUCCUUUGAUCAUUAUGUAAUGUUCUUUUUGUCUCUUAUAAUAUUCUUUAUUUUAAGAUCUAUUUUGUCAGAUAGAAGUAUUGCCACUCCAGGUUUCUUUUGAUUCUCGUUUGCAUGGAAUAUUUUCUUCCGUCCUCUCACUUUCAGUUUGCAUGUGUCCAUAGAACUGAAGUGGGUCUCUUGAAGACAGCACAUAUAUAUGGGCCUUGUUUUUUGUAUCCAUUCAGCCAGUCUAUGUCUUUUGGUUGGGGCGUUUAGUCCAUUAACAUUUAAGGUAAUUAUUGAUGUGUAUGUUCUUACUGCCAUUUUAUUAACUGUUUUGAUUUGUUUUUGUUGGUCUUUUUUCUUCCAUUCUUCUAUUGUCUCUUCUCUUGUGGUUUGAUGGCUAUAUUUAGUGUUGUAUUUGGAUUGCUUUUUCUUAUUUGUGUGUGGAUUUUUGGUUUGCAGUUGCCCUGAAGUUUUGAUAUAGGAGUCUAGAUCGAUACAUAGAUAGAUAGAUAGAUAGAUAUACAAGAUCGUUUUAAGUUUUUGGUCUCUUAAUUGAAAGUCCAUCUCUAGUGUCCUGCAUUUAUUUGUACCCUCCUCUUCUCAUGAUUUCUUAUUUUGGUAGCAUAUUUGUGUGUGGAUGAUUUCCUACCUUUACUGUAUGUAUGUCUUUACUGGUGAGUCUUGUCAUUUGUAAUAUUUUUGUUUCUACUUGUGGCCUUUUCUUUUUCACCUAGAGAAGUUCCUUUAGUCUUUGUUGUAAAGAUGGUUUAGUGGUGCUGAAAUAUUUUAGCUUUUGCUUGUCUGCAAAGCUUUUGCUUUCUCCUUCAAAUCUAAAUGAGAGCCUUGCUGGGUAGAGUAAUCUUGGUAGGUUUUUUCUUUUCAUCACUUUAAGUGUAUCAUGCCACUCCCUUUUGGCCUGUGAAGUUUCUGCUGAAAAAUCCACCAGUAACCUUAUUGGGGUUCCCUUGUAUGUUAUUUCUUUCUUUUCCCUAGCUGCUUUCAGUAUUUUCUCUUUGUCUUUAAUUUUGGUCCAUUAGAUUAAUGUUGUCUUGGUGUGUUCCUCCUUGGGUUUAUUUUAUAUGGUACUCAUUGCACUUCUUGGAUUUGAGUGAGUGGUUCCUUUCCCACGUUAGGGUAGUUUUUGGCUAUUAUCUCUUCAAAUAUUUUUUCAGGCCCUUUAUCUCUCUCUUUUCCUUCUGGCACCCCUAUAAUAUGGAUGUUGGUGUGUUUAAUGUUGUCCCAGAGUUCUCUUAGACUGUCUUCAUUUCUUUUCAAUCUUUUUUCUAUUUUCUGUUCUACAUUAAGGGAUUUCCAGUAGUCUGUCCUCCACCUCACUUAUUUGUUCUUCUACCUCCUGUAUUCUGCUGUUGGUUGCUUCUAAUGAAUUUUUUAUUUCAGUUAUUGUAUUUUGCAUCUCUUCUUACUUAAUCCUUAAAUCUUGUAUUUCUUUGCCCAGUGUUUCUUAUAAUUUAUCAGUCUUUGCCUGCAGUUUAUUUCCAAGAUCUUGAAUCAUCUUCACUAUUACAAGUCUAAAGUCUUUUUCAUGAAGGUUGAUCGUCUCCGGAUCACUUAGCUGCUUUUCUGGGUUUUUUUCUUGCUCCCUUAUCUGGGUUAUAAUUCUCUGCCGUUUCAUUUUGUAUAGAUUUUUGGUGUGUCUCCUUUUUGCAGACAAUAGAGUUGUAGACUCUCUUACUUCUGAUGUCUGCCUUCCUUUGGUAAAGGGCUUGCUGUAGGCUUCCUGAUGGGAGGGACUGGUCCUGCCCACUGGCAGGUGGAGUGAUUCUUAUCCCUCUGGUGGGUGGGGCUUUGUCUUUGGGUGAGAUUUAGAGUUGUGUGCCUGGGGGUCUUUAGGCAGUCUGUUUGCUGGUGGGUGGGGCUGUGAUUCCACCUGGAUUAUUGUUUGGCCUGGGGCUUCUCAGCCCUGGUGGGUGGGGCCAGAUUUUUCUAAAAUGGCCCCCUCUAGGGAAGCACAUGCUGAUGAUUAUUUCUGAGACCUUUCCUUCCAAUGUCCUCCACCCAUAAGGAGUAAUAGUCACUCCCUGUUUUCCCAGGAGAUGCUCCAAGAACUACAGUCAGGUCUGACCCAGAUUCCUAUGGAGCCUCUGCUUUGCCCUUGGACCCAGUGCACCUGAAAGCCUGUGUGCACCUUUCAAGAAUGAGGUCUCCAUUUCCCCUAGUCUUGUGGAGCUCCUGCACACAAGCCCCAAUGGCCUUCAAUGCCAAAUACUCCAGGGGCUCCUUCUCCCAAUGCCCAGUUCUGACUUGGGGCUCAGAACUCUCACUUCCAUAGGUGAGUCUCUGUGAUAUGUUGCUUUCCAGUCUGUGGGCUGCCCACUCAGCAGGUAUGGAGUUGCUUAUAUCAUGUAAUCCCCUCUCCUACCAUCUUGAUGUAGCCGCCUCUUUGUCUUCUGUAGUAGGAUAUCUUAGUUUGCAGAGUAUUUGGUUGAAAGUUGUUCAGCAGUUGAUUGUAAUUUUGUUGUUUUUAUGAGAGAAGGUGAGCUCCAGUCCUUCUGCUUUGCCAUCCCAAUCCCCUUAACUCCCAUCUUAAGAAUAGCAAAGGGAGAGCAAAUAAACUCAUACCCAAAUAAACUGAAGAAAGGACAUAAUAAAGGUUAAAGUGAAAAUAAAUGAGACAGAAUAUAGAAGAACAGUAGAGAGAAUCAAUGAAACCAAAAGGUAUUUCUUUGAGAAUAUCACUAAGAAUGAUAAACCUCUAGUUAGACUGACCAGAGAAAAUAGAGCAAUGAUGUGUAUUUCUUUUUUUUUUACUUUUAUUAGAGUGUAGAUGAUUUUCAGUGUUGUGUCAACUUCUGCUGUACAGCAUAGUGACACAGUCAUACAUACAUAUACAUUCUUUUUCUCAUAUUAUCUUCCAUUAUGGUCUAUCCCAAGAGACUGGAUAGAGUUCCCUGUGCUAUAGCAUAGGACCUCAUUGUUUAUCCAUUCCAAAUGUAAUAGUUUUUGCAUCUACCAACCUCAAAGUCCCAGUCAUCCCACUCCCUCCCUGCUCUCUUUUGGCAAUCACAGAUCAGUUCUCUAUGUCUGUGAGUCUGUUUCUGUUUUGUAUAUAGGUUCAUUUGUGCCAUAUUUUCACUCCCACAUGUAAGUAAUAUCAUAUGCUACUUUUUCUUUCUGGCUUAACUUCACUUAGUAUGAGAGUCUCUAGUUGCAUUUAUAUUUCUACAAAUGGCAGUAUUUUGUUCUUUUUUUUAUAGCUGAGUAGUAUUCCAUUGUAUAUCUGUACCAUAUCUUCUUAACCCAUUCAUCUGUCAGUGGACAUUUAGGUUGUUUCCAUGUUUUGGCUAUUGUGAAUAACGAGUGCUCCAAAUACAUAGGAGUUCAUGUAUUUUUCUGAAUGAAAGUUUUGUCCAUAUAUAUGCCCAGGAGUGGGAUUGCUAGAUCGUAAGGUAGUUCUAUAUUUAGUUUUUGAUACGUAUUUUUAACAUCAGGAAUAAUAGGUAGUAUCACUAUAGAUUCUCCAGAAAAUAAAAGGACAAUAAGGGAAUAUUACAAACAACUUUAUUCCAAUACAUUCAACAACUUAGAUAAACUGGGCAAAUUCCUUGUAGG
RNAcentral lists this long non-coding RNA (4260 nucleotides) under Sus scrofa (pig). RNAcentral's name for it is "lncRNA (ENSSSCG00000052440.1)". The record is from RNAcentral. Lineage: Eukaryota; Metazoa; Chordata; Mammalia; Artiodactyla; Suidae.